This 254-nucleotide ribosomal RNA is filed under the name uncultured bacterium. Its description in RNAcentral is "partial 16S ribosomal RNA". It matches the Rfam family "Bacterial small subunit ribosomal RNA", at positions 524 to 776 of the family's 1533-position model. The record is from RNAcentral.
UACGGAGGAUGCAAGCGUUAUCCGGAAUCAUUGGGCGUAAAGCGUCCGUAGGUGGCUUUUCAAGUCUGCUGUUAAAGCACAAGGCUUAACCUUGUAAAGGCGGUGGAAACUGAAAGGGCUAGAGUGCGGUAGGGGUAGAGGGAAUUCCCAGUGUAGCGGUGAAAUGCGUAGAGAUUGGGAAGAACACCGGUGGCGAAAGCGCUCUACUGGGCCUGCACUGACACUGAGGGACGAAAGCUAGGGGAGCGAAAGGG